ACUUGCCUUUGCGAGGGGGAUAACAGUUGGAAACGACUGCUAAUACCGCAUAAUGUCUUCGGACCAAACGGGGCUUCGGCUCCGGCGCAAAGAGAGGCCCAAGUGAGAUUAGCUAGUUGGUGAGGUAAGAGCUCACCAAGGCGACGAUCUCUAGCUGUUCUGAGAGGAAGAUCAGCCACACUGGGACUGAGACACGGCCCAGACUCCUACGGGAGGCAGCAGUGGGGAAUAUUGCACAAUGGGGGAAACCCUGAUGCAGCCAUGCCGCGUGUGUGAAGAAGGCCUUCGGGUUGUAAAGCACUUUCAGUUGUGAGGAAAAGUUAGUAGUUAAUACCUGCUAGCCGUGACGUUAACAACAGAAGAAGCACCGGCUAACUCCGUGCCAGCAGCCGCGGUAAUACGGAGGGUGCGAGCGUUAAUCGGAAUUACUGGGCGUAAAGCGCACGCAGGCGGUUUGUUAAGCUAGAUGUGAAAGCCCCGAGCUCAACUUGGGAUGGUCAUUUAGAACUGGCAGACUAGAGUCUUGGAGAGGGGAGUGGAAUUCCAGGUGUAGCGGUGAAAUGCGUAGAUAUCUGGAGGAACAUCAGUGGCGAAGCGACUCCCUGGCCAAAGACUAACGCUCAUGUGCGAAAGUGUGGGUAGCGAACAG
RNAcentral lists this ribosomal RNA (649 nucleotides) under uncultured bacterium. RNAcentral's name for it is "bacterial SSU rRNA". It matches the Rfam family "Bacterial small subunit ribosomal RNA", at positions 124 to 775 of the family's 1533-position model. The record is from RNAcentral.